CCUGACACUGACUGCUCUAAGUACGCAUAUAAUUACUAAUACGUCUAUACUUUCAUAUCGCGUUUCGCUACAUUUUCGUCGUACAGGACAUAACUAAGUUCAAAUGUCCACGCAGGGUGAACUGAAUGCGAAUUGCAAGGUGGCAGAACGAAGGACACGAUCGAGUUAUGAGUCGCAGUUGUACCAUCUAUAUACCCAAAACAAUAGUACUUCGAUUAGUCAUAGGCUCAUUGCUCACUCAAUAUACAAUACCAGAGAUGUAGUAAGUAGUAAACACUCAAUUUAGACAUAUUAGUCUUCAGAGAUUCACAACAGAAUCAGAGAUAAGUUCGUUCUCCAUAUCAUAGCAUCUCAAGCAUAUAUUAGUUAUGAGUUAUGACCUUUCAUUCCCCAUAACCUGCCCCUUCCUAACACCAAUGGUUUUACAAGAAACGAAAUUUGACAUUACACCUGUCUACAAACUCGAAUCGACACAUAAGCUCUCUGCAACCUUCUGCUUGUCAUUCAGUUCUCUGAGCAAACCCCAAGAACAAAAAAUUGUGGACAUUCAUCUUCCACAUCGGACCAAAUGAAUACGAAUUUUGACAAUUAAUUAAAAUUACCUUUCGUGCCGGAGGUCAGUCUAUGAACAUUGAUCUACAACACGUGCAAGCUAUGGAGAAACGAGUCAGCUAGUCAGAAGCGAGAUUGCAUCAUGAGCUAGUUUCACUUGCUGAUAUGGAGUACUCUUCGGACUUGACGAGGCUCUGCUGUCCUUUACUACUGAUAUCAAGUCCCUGGAACCGGGCCAGAGAUUCAUUCUGCAUGGCAUCAGAGAGAUGGUGAUUAUUUGCUUGAUGCAUGUUCUGGGAAGGCAUUGCUUGCUGUGGA
RNAcentral lists this long non-coding RNA (870 nucleotides) under Linum usitatissimum (flax). RNAcentral's name for it is "long non-coding RNA (LUSI_LNC002120)". The record is from RNAcentral. Lineage: Eukaryota; Viridiplantae; Streptophyta; Magnoliopsida; Malpighiales; Linaceae.